Molecule: small RNA, 887 nt
Filed under: Vigna angularis var. angularis
Lineage: Eukaryota; Viridiplantae; Streptophyta; Magnoliopsida; Fabales; Fabaceae
Description: Non-protein coding transcript
Source: RNAcentral
GGCUUCGUAUUAGGGUUCGUGGGAGGAAAAAAAGAUGUUUUUGUUCGAUUAGAAGCGGCAGGGUUCUUGGAUGAAGAACAUCGACUUGCAAUAAGGCACUAGAACUUCAUCGUUGGAAAGUGGAAGAACAAAGGAAAAUGGAAGAGGCACAAUUAACUAAAGAAACAACAUUGUCAAUGGAUGAGAAAGAGAAAGCAAAAUGUGUAGCUACCGUGGAAGAAGCAGAAACAUCUCGAAAAAUUGUAGAGUUGGAAGCACGAAUAUAAUGACUGUAGAAUCUGGGCAUAAUAAGAAGACAACAAAUAUGUUUUCACACUGUCCCACCAGGUACAUAAAUACACUAUAGAGGAAAUAGAAGAAGCAACAAAUUUAUUUUCAAACUCUCUCAAGGUUGGUGAAGGUGGUUAUGGGCCAAUCUACAUAUGUGAACUAGAUCACACACCAGUUGCAGUGAAGAUAUUGAAACCUGAUGCAGCUCAGGGACAAACACAGUUUCAGCAGGAGGUAUGGAAAACGCAAGAUUUCGAAUUGCUGCAGAGAUUGCCUCUUUCGGAGGGGCAACAAAAGAGCUCUUUCAUGGCCGCUGAGAUUCUGAAUUGCUGAAGAGAUUGCAAUUGGGCUCCUUUUCCUACACCAGACAAAACCAGAACCACUUAACUCCCCGUUGUUGAAAGCUUGCCGCCGGUUCGUAGUCGUCGAAUGGUCGCCGCCGUUGAAGGCUCGCCGACGUCGAAGGAUCCAUUGAAGACUCGUUUUUCCACUCCUGGUUGUCAUCGAACUGUCGAAGGCUCUACCACCGUCGAAAGUUCUGAGAACACUUUUCUUUAGCUAGAAAGAGAAGCAUAGGGAUAUCACCUAAGUGGAGAUGAGUCAGAUUACUAGGGCAU